This 253-nucleotide ribosomal RNA is filed under the name uncultured bacterium. RNAcentral describes it as "partial 16S ribosomal RNA". It matches the Rfam family "Bacterial small subunit ribosomal RNA", at positions 524 to 776 of the family's 1533-position model. The record is from RNAcentral.
UACAGAGGUGGCAAGCGUUGUUCGGAAUUACUGGGCGUAAAGGGCGCGUAGGCGGCCUUCUAAGUCGAACGUGAAAUCCCCGGGCUCAACCCGGGAACUGCGUCCGAUACUGGAAGGCUUGAAUCCGGGAGAGGGAUGUGGAAUUCCAGGUGUAGCGGUGAAAUGCGUAGAUAUCUGGAGGAACACCGGUGGCGAAGGCGGCGAUCUGGGAAGAUACUGACGCUGAGGUGCGAAAGCGUGGGGAGCAAACAGG